AGCAUAUCAAUAAGCGGAGGAAAAGAAACCAACAGGGAUUGCCCCAGUAACGGCGAGUGAAGCGGCAACAGCUCAAAUUUGAAAUCUGGCCCCAGGCCCGAGUUGUAAUUUGCAGAGGAUGCUUUUGGCGCGGUGCCUUCCGAGUUCCCUGGAACGGGACGCCAUAGAGGGUGAGAGCCCCGUACGGUUGGACACCAAGCCUUUGUAAAGCUCCUUCGACGAGUCGAGUAGUUUGGGAAUGCUGCUCUAAAUGGGAGGUACAUUUCUUCUAAAGCUAAAUAUUGGCCAGAGACCGAUAGCGCACAAGUAGAGUGAUCGAAAGAUGAAAAGCACUUUGAAAAGAGGGUUAAACAGCACGUGAAAUUGUUAAAAGGGAAGCGCUUGUGACCAGACUUGCGUCCGGUGAAUCACCCAGCUCUCGCGGCUGGGGCACUUCGCCGGCACAGGCCAGCAUCAGCUUGCCGUCGGGGACAAAAGCUUCAGGAACGUGGCUCCUCUCGGGGAGUGUUAUAGCCUGUUGCAUAAUACCCUUCGGCGGGCUGAGGUACGCGCUCCGCAAGGAUGCUGGCGUAAUGGUCAUCAGCGACCCGU
RNAcentral lists this ribosomal RNA (591 nucleotides) under Colletotrichum nymphaeae. Its description in RNAcentral is "partial large subunit ribosomal RNA". It matches the Rfam family "Eukaryotic large subunit ribosomal RNA", at positions 37 to 652 of the family's 3401-position model. Lineage: Eukaryota; Fungi; Ascomycota; Sordariomycetes; Glomerellales; Glomerellaceae. The record is from RNAcentral.